GAUGAACGCUGGCGGCGUGCCUAAUACAUGCAAGUCGAGCGAACAGAUGAGGAGCUUGCUCCUCUGACGUUAGCGGCGGACGGGUGAGUAACACGUGGAUAACCUACCUAUAAGACUGGGAUAACUUCGGGAAACCGGAGCUAAUACCGGAUAAUAUAUUGAACCGCAUGGUUCAAUAGUGAAAGACGGUUUUGCUGUCACUUAUAGAUGGAUCCGCGCCGCAUUAGCUAGUUGGUAAGGUAACGGCUUACCAAGGCAACGAUGCGUAGCCGACCUGAGAGGGUGAACGGCCACACUGGAACUGAGACACGGUCCAGACUCCUACGGGAGGCAGCAGUUGCGAAUCUUCCGCAAUAGGCGAAAGCCUGACGGAGCAACGCCGCGUGAGUGAUGAAGGUCUACGGAUCGUAAAACUCUGUUAUUAGGGUAGAACAAAUGUGUAAGUAACUAUGCACGUCUUGACGGUACCUAAUCGGAAAGCCACGGCUAACUACGUG
This 497-nucleotide ribosomal RNA is filed under the name uncultured bacterium. Its description in RNAcentral is "partial 16S ribosomal RNA". It matches the Rfam family "Bacterial small subunit ribosomal RNA", at positions 28 to 507 of the family's 1533-position model. The record is from RNAcentral.